UGCAUUCACUACUGUAAGACACUCUGGAUAAGAGCGUCUGCUAAAUGACUAAAA
Non-coding RNA from Salmo salar (Atlantic salmon), 54 nucleotides. NCBI's taxonomy places the organism in Eukaryota, Metazoa, Chordata, Actinopteri, Salmoniformes, Salmonidae. The record is from Rfam.